This 468-nucleotide ribosomal RNA is filed under the name uncultured bacterium. RNAcentral describes it as "partial 16S ribosomal RNA". It matches the Rfam family "Bacterial small subunit ribosomal RNA", at positions 28 to 507 of the family's 1533-position model. The record is from RNAcentral.
GACGAACGCUGGCGGCGUGCUUAACACAUGCAAGUCGAACGGAAAGGCCCUGCUGUUGUGGGGUGCUCGAGUGGCGAACGGGUGAGUAACACGUGAGUAACCUGCCCUUUACUUUGGGAUAACUUCAGGAAACUGGGGCUAAUACCGGAUAGGAGCUCCUGCUGCAUUGUGGGGGUUGGAAAGUUUCGGCGGUUGGGGAUGGACUCGCGGCUUAUCAGCUUGUUGGUGGGGUAGUGGCUUACCAAGGCUUUGACGGGUAGCCGGCCUGCGAGGGUGACCGGCCACAUUGGGACUGAGAUACGGCCCAGACUCCUACGGGAGGCAGCAGUGGGGAAUAUUGCACAAUGGGCGGAAGCCUGAUGCAGCAACGCCGCGUGCGGGAUGACGGCCUUCGGGUUGUAAACCGCUUUCGCCUGUGACGAAGCGUGAGUGACGGUAAUGGGUAAAGAAGCACCGGCUAACUACGUG